CGAACGCUGGCGGCGUGCUUAACACAUGCAAGUCGAGCGGUAAGGCCCUUUCGGGGGUACACGAGCGGCGAACGGGUGAGUAACACGUGGGUGACCUGCCCUCAGCUCUGGGAUAAGCCUGGGAAACCGGGUCUAAUACUGGAUAUGACUCCAUGACGCAUGUUGUGGGGUGGAAAGCCUUGUGCGGCUGAGGAUGGGCCCGCGGCCUAUCAGCUUGUUGGUGGGGUGAUGGCCUACCAAGGCGACGACGGGUAGCCGGCCUGAGAGGGCGACCGGCCACACUGGGACUGAGACACGGCCCAGACUCCUACGGGAGGCAGCAGUGGGGAAUCUUGCGCAAUGGGCGAAAGCCUGACGCAGCGACGCCGCGUGAGGGAUGACGGCCU
RNAcentral lists this ribosomal RNA (386 nucleotides) under uncultured bacterium. Its description in RNAcentral is "bacterial SSU rRNA". It matches the Rfam family "Bacterial small subunit ribosomal RNA", at positions 30 to 417 of the family's 1533-position model. The record is from RNAcentral.